This 294-nucleotide unclassified non-coding RNA is filed under the name Hevea brasiliensis (rubber tree). Lineage: Eukaryota; Viridiplantae; Streptophyta; Magnoliopsida; Malpighiales; Euphorbiaceae. The record is from RNAcentral.
AGAGGAAGACGACAGUUUCCAGUUCUUUUUCUUUCUGCACUCAUCCAUGUCUAUCUGCUCCUGUCUGCACUCUUUGCUACAAAACGGUGUAUUCCCUCUGUACAUGAAGAUAUCAGUGUUACACCCAAGCGGUUUCCGGCAAAGAAAACAUGCUUCAAGGAAGUGAGGCUCGUGGCCGUAGUAAGACAUGAUCGAUCUUUACGUUAAAGAAUGAAAUAAAAAAACCCAGCGUUUAAAGCUCUGGUAAGCAGACGCUGAAAGAAGGAGAAGGAAGCAAUUCCGGGACGGAAAAAC